RNAcentral lists this ribosomal RNA (468 nucleotides) under uncultured bacterium. RNAcentral describes it as "partial 16S ribosomal RNA". It matches the Rfam family "Bacterial small subunit ribosomal RNA", at positions 28 to 507 of the family's 1533-position model. The record is from RNAcentral.
GACGAACGCUGGCGGCGUGCUUAACACAUGCAAGUCGAACGGAAAGGCCCUGCUUUUGUGGGGUGCUCGAGUGGCGAACGGGUGAGUAACACGUGAGUAACCUGCCCUUGACUUUGGGAUAACUUCAGGAAACUGGGGCUAAUACCGGAUAGGAGCUCCUGCUGCAUGGUGGGGGUUGGAAAGUUUCGGCGGUUGGGGAUGGACUCGCGGCUUAUCAGCUUGUUGGUGGGGUAGUGGCUUACCAAGGCUUUGACGGGUAGCCGGCCUGAGAGGGUGACCGGCCACAUUGGGACUGAGAUACGGCCCAGACUCCUACGGGAGGCAGCAGUGGGGUAUAUUGCACAAUGGGCGGAAGCCUGAUGCAGCAACGCCGCGUGCGGGAUGACGGCCUUUGGGUUGUAAACCGCUUUCGCCUGUGACGAAGCGUGAGUGACGGUAAUGGGUAAAGAAGCACCGGCUAACUACGUG